GGGGUGUAACGGUACACAUUUGUACCGAACCGUCACGGUACAGGCACUUCGGAGCGGUUACAGAUGUGCACCGCGGUACGUAAAUGUGGCGUACAUAGCGGGCAACGAUCGUCGAAUAGUCGAAGUCACGUAGAACAUCGAAUAAUGAAUGUGACUGUCGUUGUUUAUUACACAGCCCUUCUCAAUGCUGGUGAACGCUCCGUUGACUUGCAUGGGCCUUCAAAACUUCCGGUGGUGAAUAGCGUCCUCGGUUGCUAUGCAACGUCAACGUCUUUGGCGGAUUAUUUCCGAUCAACACUACGAAUGCUGCCUCAGACAGCCCCAAGACCCAAGAACCAAGACCCAAGAACCAAGACCCAAGAACCAAGACCCAGUACCAAGACCCAAGGACCAAGACCCAGGACCCAAGACCCAGUACCAAGACCCAAGGACCAAGACCCAAGAACCAAGACCCAAGGACCAAGACCCAAGAACCAAGACCCAAGAACCAAGACCCAAGACCAAGGGACCAAGACCCGGUAUUAAGACCCAAGUACCAGGGACCAAGACCCAGGGACCCAGAUCCAGGUACCAGACCCAGGCUCUAAGACCUAGACCCCCAGGCAGGCUCCAUAAGUUCCCGUCCCCGUCCCAGGACCGCUAGCCUGGAGGGGGAUGAGAUCAGGCAGCGUGUUGCUAUAAAACAAGGCCCACUUCAUGAGGAAACACCUCCUUUAUCUCUUCAGGUCGAUAUACCAUACAACACAGAACUACCAAAUAUAUAACCCCCCUGCUAAUAAAUAUUUAUUGCAUUAUCAUUAAAGAAAUAACAUUGUAUUUCUAAUAGAUGAAAAGUUGCUGAAUACGAUGCCCCAAGGCUACGAGCAGCGGGAAUCAAACCCAGAACCUCACGGCCGGGAGUCAAGCACAGUAGACCACUGCCUCUCCUCCUGCUAGAUAGUAUAACACAGUAAUAAUACCCUCAGUGGUAACUAUUAGUUAACAAAACAGAAAGACCAUCAGCUCAACAUAUAUAGUACAUGAGUCUCUCUCUCUCUCUCUCUCUCUCUCUCUCUCUCUCUCUCUCUCUCUCUCUCUCUCUCUCUCUCUCUCUCUCUCUCUCUCUCUCUCUCUCUCUCUCUCUCUCUCUCUCUCUCUCUCUCUCUCUCUCUCUCUCUCUCUCUCUCUCUCUCUCUCUCUCUCUCUCUCUCUCUCUCUCUCUCUCUCUCUCUCUCUCCCUCUCUCUCUCCCUCUCUCUCUCUCUCUCUCUCUCUCUCUCUCUCUCUCUCGCUCUUUCAUGGAUGUAGGAUUUGUAUGUAGUACAUGAGUCUGUACUAUAUGAGUAUGAUGUAGUACAUGAGUCUGUACUAUAUGAGUAUGAUGUAGUACAUGAGUCUGUACUAUAUGAGUAUGAUGUAGUACAUGAGUCUGUAGUACAUGAGUCUGUAGUACAUGAGUAUGCCGUACAUGAGACUCUAUCACCUCAGCUGGGUGAGAUCUAGACGCUAGAUGAAUCUCACAGCGUUCACUGUCAGCCUUUGAAGUGGACCCAAGCGGGUUCAAAAUCUCAGGUCAUUGAUUAAUUGGUGCAUUAAUCAGAACGAUUGAUCUGAUGAAGAGGAAGAUGAGGGAGACGAGGAGCUCUGCGGAUCAGAGAUCGUUCCCGUGUUGAUGAUGAUGCUGAUGAUGAUGAUGGCGGUGGUGGCAGGCUGUAGUUAUACAAUGUACUGAUGUACUUUGUGAUGUUUGUUGAGGGAUCACAAGUCUGUCUGUAGUUGUACUCAAGUAGCCCACUGAAAUCUAAUGCUGAGCUGUUUAAACCUGGCUCACUAGUUCUGUUUUAAGGGGAUUUCAAAUGCAGUGUUGCUGCAUUUGAAAUCAAUAUUUAAUUGUGUGUUUCAAUAAAUACAGUCUGACAAAAGGAACACAUAUACUUCUUAACCAGCUUCACACCAGAGGCACAACUGGUUGGUCGGUGCUGUUGAUGUUUCAUUGAUGCUGAGCAGAUAUGGGGACGCACAUUACGGCCGCUAGCACUGUAUCUCGUUAUUGUAAAUCAUAUCUCACAAGAGCUGAUCUGAGGCAGGGGGGGUCUGGUCACCUGAGGGGGGCGUCAUGGGGACACCGGGGUACCAAGAGGGCGCACCGGGCCUCGCCCUCUCCUCUACGAUGGAUCGGGUUUGAACUGGUUUGUGAUUUGGAGGCGUGAUGCAGCGAUGAUGACAUCACUAAGAGAGAGAGAGAGUAGAUG
Long non-coding RNA from Gadus morhua (Atlantic cod), 2230 nucleotides. Lineage: Eukaryota; Metazoa; Chordata; Actinopteri; Gadiformes; Gadidae. The record is from Ensembl.